This is a small nucleolar RNA of 81 nucleotides. Its record names the gene SNORD115. It matches the Rfam family "Small nucleolar RNA SNORD115". From Rfam's summary of the family: HBII-52 is a member of the C/D class of snoRNAs, which contain the C (UGAUGA) and D (CUGA) box motifs. HBII-52 is encoded in a tandemly repeated array with another C/D snoRNA, HBII-85, in the Prader-Willi syndrome (PWS) region of chromosome 15. HBII-52 is exclusively expressed in the brain but is absent in PWS patients. The record is from Ensembl.
AGAUCAAAGUUGAGAAUUCAUAUUGUCUUGAAGAGAAAUUAUGACCUAAAAAUCAUGCUCCAUAAAAUUACAAUGAAGCCC